GCCCUGCUAGCUCAGCUGGUUAGAGCGUCGUACUAAUAGAAUUUCUAGAACCAGAGGUUCUAUCAGGUCCAUGCGAAGGUCAACAGUUCAAUCAUGUUGUGGGGCA
Non-coding RNA from Rhypophila decipiens, 106 nucleotides. NCBI's taxonomy places the organism in Eukaryota, Fungi, Ascomycota, Sordariomycetes, Sordariales, Naviculisporaceae. The record is from the annotation of a GenBank genome assembly.